This 497-nucleotide ribosomal RNA is filed under the name uncultured bacterium. RNAcentral's name for it is "partial 16S ribosomal RNA". It matches the Rfam family "Bacterial small subunit ribosomal RNA", at positions 28 to 507 of the family's 1533-position model. The record is from RNAcentral.
GAUGAACGCUGGCGGCGUGCCUAAUACAUGCAAGUCGAGCGAACAGAUAAGGAGCUUGCUCCUUUGACGUUAGCGGCGGACGGGUGAGUAACACGUGGGUAACCUACCUAUAAGACUGGGAUAACUUCGGGAAACCGGAGCUAAUACCGGAUAACAUUUGGAACCGCAUGGUUCUAAAGUGAAAGAUGGUUUUGCUAUCACUUAUAGAUGGACCCGCGCCGUAUUAGCUAGUUGGUAAGGUAACGGCUUACCAAGGCGACGAUACGUAGCCGACCUGAGAGGGGGAUCGGCCACACUGGAACUGAGACCCGGGCCAGACUCCUAAGGGAGGCAGCAGUAGGGAAUCUUCCGCAAUGGGCGAAAGCCUGACGGAGCAACGCCGCGUGAGUGAUGAAGGGUUUCGGCUCGUAAAACUCUGUUAUUAGGGAAGAACAAAUGUGUAAGUAACUGUGCACGUCCUGACGGUACCUAAUCAGAAAGCCACGGCUAACUACGUG